This 496-nucleotide ribosomal RNA is filed under the name uncultured bacterium. RNAcentral's name for it is "partial 16S ribosomal RNA". It matches the Rfam family "Bacterial small subunit ribosomal RNA", at positions 28 to 506 of the family's 1533-position model. The record is from RNAcentral.
GAUGAACGCUGGCGGCGUGCCUAAUACAUGCAAGUCGAGCGAACAGAUGAGGAGCUUGCUCCUCUGACGUUAGCGGCGGACGGGUGAGUAACACGUGGAUAACCUACCUAUAAGACUGGGAUAACUUCGGGAAACCGGAGCUAAUACCGGAUAAUAUAUUGAACCGCAUGGUUCAAUAGUGAAAGACGGUUUUGCUGUCACUUAUAGAUGGAUCCGCGCCGCAUUAGCUAGUUGGUAAGGUAACGGCUUACCAAGGCAACGAUGCGUAGCCGACCUGAGAGGGUGAUCGGCCACACUGGAACUGAGACACGGUCCAGACUCCUACGGGAGGCAGCAGUAGGGAAUCUUCCGCAAUGGGCGAAAGCCUGACGGAGCAACGCCGCGUGAGUGAUGAAGGUCUUCGGAUCGUAAAACUCUGUUAUUAGUGAAGAACAAAUGUGUAAGUAACUAUGCACGUCUUGACGGUACCUAAUCAGAAAGCCACGGCUAACUACGU